CUUUACCUGAAAAGAUCUUCUACCUUCUACCCUUGCUGCCUUGGAACCUGGGACCACCAUGCUGUGAAGACUCCAGGGACAUGAGGCCAUGUGGAGAGAGUACCAACCAUUACAACCAUCCCAGCCAUUUAGCCUGAUCCCCCACACUGAGUCUGUUAUUGGUGUUCUUGUAAUCUCCCAGGAUAGAAAUCAAGAGAGAUCACCAGCCACAGCAGCAAAGAAAAAGAGAAAGCUUCAUUUAGCUGGUGCGCAGGGAAAGGCAGCACCAUGGAAGUAGUUAACAGUUCUGCAGAACAUUUUAGAAAUGGCAACAUAAGUAUAAACAACAAAACAGUGAGAUUCUGAUACCAACUUCCAGUUCCUCCUCACCAAGACUUUGUGAAAACUCUUCAGCUCAUCUGGCAAAACGAACAGGCAAAGACGCAGAUACCAGGACACUUCCUUUUGAACACUUGGCUGCAGAAGCUAAGAGACAUGGG
This is a long non-coding RNA of Gorilla gorilla gorilla (western lowland gorilla), 479 nucleotides long. RefSeq lists it as uncharacterized. Lineage: Eukaryota; Metazoa; Chordata; Mammalia; Primates; Hominidae. The record is from RefSeq and is a predicted model, not a curated record. The transcript has 3 exons.